AUGUGGUGCUACGCACGGAGGUGGCCUGACGAUCUGCUGUCACGGUGGUGAAUCGCGCGUCACCCGGCGGCUGCGCUCCGGCCCGCGUUUGACGUCGGACGAUCUUUGGAAUCGGCCUUCGGAAAGGCAAAGGAACGGCCAUGGGUCCUCGACCGACCUGAGUGCUCUAACAUGUUGCUGUCCGUAGUUUUAGACCUCUCACGGCGCCUCACGGACGCCCCCUGAAGUCGCCACCAUACGGGACUUUUCUCCUCGUGUCACGGGCCUAGUGCUACCCGUCCCGUCUCGUCACCCUCUCGAUGGGGUGGUCGACAGGGUUUCUGGGGGCGCUGCACCCCGCCGCAAGUGGCAUGUUUCUGGCUUCGUCGAGGCCGCUGCACGACCCUGCACGUCGACUGAG
This 400-nucleotide unclassified non-coding RNA is filed under the name uncultured fungus. RNAcentral describes it as "sequence contains ITS1". Lineage: Eukaryota; Fungi. The record is from RNAcentral.